Molecule: ribosomal RNA, 255 nt
Filed under: uncultured bacterium
Lineage: Bacteria
Description: partial 16S ribosomal RNA
Rfam family: Bacterial small subunit ribosomal RNA
Source: RNAcentral
UACAGAGGUCCCAAGCGUUGUUCGGAUUCAUUGGGCGUAAAGGGUGCGUAGGUGGCGCCGUAAGUCAGGUGUGAAAUCUCGGGGCUUAACUCCGAAACUGCAUUUGAUACUGCGAUGCUUGAGGACUGGAGAGGAGACUGGAAUUUACGGUGUAGCAGUGAAAUGCGUAGAGAUCGAUAAGGAAGACCAGUGGCGAAGGCGGGUCUCUGGACAGUUCCUGACACUGAGGCACGAAGGCCAGGGGAGCAAACGGGG